GAACGCCGUAUGCGGUGAAAGCCGCACGUACGGUGUGGACCAAGCGAAAUCCGUAAGGAUAGCAAGGGAUAGCGUACCGGUAGAGAAAUUUACAUUAACUUUAGAUGGAGAAGGUUUAUCAUCAACUCCAAU
This is a non-coding RNA of Sporanaerobacter sp. PP17-6a, 132 nucleotides long. The record is from Rfam. Lineage: Bacteria; Bacillati; Bacillota; Tissierellia; Tissierellales; Sporanaerobacteraceae.